UCACACCGGUUCCCGUUCAAUCACCUAAGUUAAACAGUGUUGGGCCAUGUCAGUACUUAGAUGGGGGACAACUUGAGAACAUCAGGUGU
Non-coding RNA from Acanthosepion pharaonis, 89 nucleotides. The record is from the annotation of a GenBank genome assembly. Lineage: Eukaryota; Metazoa; Mollusca; Cephalopoda; Sepiida; Sepiidae.